CCUGUGAUAUGACGAUUUAGUAUGUAAGUUCGUUUGUGUGUCCAAAUAGGGCACCAGUCGCUGUCCCGGAGUUGGGUCGUGACAAAUAUUAAAAACAAGACACCUUUUGUUAAAUCUUCACAACAAUCUAUGAUCAAGUCCUAGGAUUUUCAAGAGAACUCAUCAAGGUUCAACGAUGGAUUUUUGGGAUUCUUCUUCAUUGUUAGAGUUUUAAUUGGAGUGAUUCAAGGAAUGAUCUUGUGUGUUGAACAUCUUUAAAACAUGAGACACAUGAGGUCUCAGUGUACCCUGCAUUGAAGAGUUCAGAAUUACAAUUAUUCUUCUCCUACGUUGAGGCAAAUUUCAAGAUUCUUAUGUCAGUCUUUAAAUUUGAAGAUAUGCUCUUUAAAACGUUGUGAAUCUAUGAUAUUUUUUUCUUCAGAAAAUGUAUCGAAAAGAAAAAUAAAAAGCAAACUUUUUCCACACAAUGAGAAACUUUCAAAGUUUGUGCUCUUCUUAAUAUAGAA
Molecule: long non-coding RNA, 506 nt
Organism: Solanum dulcamara
Lineage: Eukaryota; Viridiplantae; Streptophyta; Magnoliopsida; Solanales; Solanaceae
Exons: 2
Source: RefSeq, a predicted model, not a curated record